UACGUAGGGGGCCAGCGUUGUCCGGAAUCAUUGGGCGUAAAGCGCGCGUAGGCGGCCUCAUAAGUCCGUUGUGAAAGUCAAAGGCUCAACAUUUGAAAGCCGAUGGAUACUGUGAGGCUAGAGUCCGGAAGAGGCGAGUGGAAUUCCUGGUGUAGCGGUGGAAUGCGCAGAUAUCAGGAGGAACACCAAUAGCGAAGGCAGCUCGCUGGGACGGUACUGACGCUAAGGCGCGAAAGCGUGGGGAGCGAACAGG
RNAcentral lists this ribosomal RNA (253 nucleotides) under uncultured bacterium. RNAcentral's name for it is "partial 16S ribosomal RNA". It matches the Rfam family "Bacterial small subunit ribosomal RNA", at positions 524 to 776 of the family's 1533-position model. The record is from RNAcentral.